UCCGGCAUAGUACAGUGGCUAGUAUACCUGCCUCUCACGUAGGAGACCGGGGUUCAAUUCCCCGUACCGGAA
RNAcentral lists this transfer RNA (72 nucleotides) under Polymyxa betae. Its description in RNAcentral is "tRNA-Glu". It matches the Rfam family "tRNA". Rfam says of the family: Transfer RNA (tRNA) molecules are approximately 80 nucleotides in length. Their secondary structure includes four short double-helical elements and three loops (D, anti-codon, and T loops). Further hydrogen bonds mediate the characteristic L-shaped molecular structure. tRNAs have two regions of fundamental functional importance: the anti-codon, which is responsible for specific mRNA codon recognition, and the 3' end, to which the tRNAs corresponding amino acid is attached (by aminoacyl-tRNA synthetases). tRNAs cope with the degeneracy of the genetic code in two manners: having more than one tRNA (with a specific anti-codon) for a particular amino acid; and 'wobble' base-pairing, i.e. permitting non-standard base-pairing at the 3rd anti-codon position. Lineage: Eukaryota; Endomyxa; Phytomyxea; Plasmodiophorida; Plasmodiophoridae. The record is from RNAcentral.